GCAGAGUAAGAGAUGCCACGGAGGAGAGAGGGCACCCGGGGUCCCUGCAACCCCGACGAGCGAGAGAGAAGUUUAAAUUCCAUGAAGUACUGAUAUGAUAACUACCAUUUGCCGAGAGAGCUCGCCCCCUGCCAGGCAGUUUGCAGCGUGAGUGCACCUGUUCCCUACAAUGGUCCUAUCAGGUCGUUAGCAUCAGCUCCGUUUUCCCAAAGGAGCAGGUGCUCAGGGAGGUUUAGGAACUCAGUCCAGGUGACAGCUGAACGUGGCCGAGGCAGGAGCAGGAUUCAAGCCCAAGUUUCUCAGAACGUGGGUCCUUCCACCUCGCUAUGCCGUCUCGCCAGAAAGAAUAGCGAGCACCCUCACGUCUCAUCUUGCAGGGAAUGGAUGAAAUAGCAAAACUUUUUUUUUUUUUUUUGGUUGGGGAAAAAUCCUUCUGCGUGCCUAUUCAGUCAGCUGCCAGGGCGGCACUGGGAAAGUCAGGACCGACCUCAGAGACUGAUCGAGAACAGCUAUUCCUCUGGGGACCUGCGAAAACGACCGGCCAAAAGAACUCAAGAAGGGGAGGGGGGAACUUCCCCCUCCCCAACACUGAGGAGAAAUAAAUGCGUCUCCUUGUAUGAGGCCGUAUGAAGACUAUGUAGUGAGUAUUCCUGCCCCUAAAGGUGGACUUGAACGUACUCAGGCUCAGAGCUGACUUGCAGCUUACAGGACACACGGAGGUAGAAGAACAGAUUGAGUGGCCUUAUGAGGAAGCAAACAGGCAAAUCCAGAAUGGGGGCCAUCCUCCAGGACUGCUGUCCUGGUUCCCUCACACUGGUGACUUAGGAUAUAAAUUCCCUGUGACACAUCGUAUGGAGGUACAGAACGUCCAGCAUCUCAAAUAACUGAGACUGAAGGAAGGCUGAUGUGCUUUUUGGAAACUGCAUUAGAUGACUGAAAAAGAGCCUCCGUGACACUGAUUGCAAAGAUAUGGAUAAAGUUGUAAUAAAUGCAUUUGCAACCAGAGUUGUGACUCAUCCAAGUCGUGUGGACAGAUUUACAACCUUUUGACCAGAAGACUUCUCAUUGAAGGAUGAGAAAAAAAAAAAAAAGAUGGAAAAAGAUUAUCCAAGAGAGAAAGCAUAUUAAGACAUGAAACUUUAAAAAACUGUAUCCAUUUACUCACUGAGUUUGGAAGACUUCACUGAACCUCAUUCAGUCAUGAAUAUCUAUUAAAUCAUAGCUCUGAUGUUUACAUUUAGCAAGAAAAAAAUAAUAACCCAUGCUAUUUAAGAUGAUCUAUCCUGUAAGCAUACUUUCCAUGCCUAAUGAGACUCUGCAAUGUAAUUCUCUCUCACUGAGGUUACUUUAACAACUUUCUAUUUUUAAAUUAUGUGACUAUUAACUUGUCAAAACAUUUCAAAAUAAUUUCUUUAAAAGAAGUGUUUUCUAAUGUGUUGCUCUAAACCAGACCUCACCAACAGACCUCAUACCAAGACUGGUAUGAAGAAAAACAAAAGUUUAAGGGAAGUCAAAACAAAUCUGGAUAAAUGGGAGAGUUACAAGAUAUUUCUAGACAGGAAGACUCAGUAUUGAAAAGAUGUCAGUUCUUUUCAAAUUAACCUAUCCCAAUCAGAAUCCACGUGAGAAUUUUAAAGAAUGUGAUAAGCUGAUCCUCAUUCAUCUAGAAGAGAAAAAUGGGCAAAAAUAACCAAUAAAAUUUUGAAAAAGUUAAACAGCAGGGUUCUGCUCUACCAAAUAUAAAACAUUGCUGUAGGAAUUAAAACGGUGUGGUCUUGUUUCAGGCACAGACACAUAAGUCUUGUUUCAGACACAUAAGUGGCAGAGCAUGCAAAAUCUCCUGUAUAUGCAUAUUUAUAUUCAUCUAUAUAGUAAAAUUUGAAUUUGGCUUAUGAGCAAAGGUAGCAUUUUGAGUCUGUUGGGGAAGGGAUUGUGCAUGAUAGCUGGCCAUCAGGUAAAGUCAUAACCCCUCCACAUUGUA
This is a long non-coding RNA of Physeter macrocephalus (sperm whale), 1981 nucleotides long. RefSeq lists it as uncharacterized. The record is from RefSeq and is a predicted model, not a curated record. Lineage: Eukaryota; Metazoa; Chordata; Mammalia; Artiodactyla; Physeteridae. The transcript has 3 exons.